GAUGAAGAACGCAGCGAAAUGCGAUAAGUAAUGUGAAUUGCAGAAUUCAGUGAAUCAUCGAGUCUUUGAACGCACAUUGCGCCCCCUGGUAUUCCGGGGGGCAUGCCUGUCCGAGCGUCAUUGCUGCCCUCAAGCACGGCUUGUGUGUUGGGCUCCGUCCCCCCGGGGACGGGUCCGAAAGGCAGCGGCGGCACCGAGUCCGGUCCUCGAGCGUAUGGGGCUUUGUCACCCGCUCUGUAGGCCCGGCCGGCGCCAGCCGACAACCAAUCAUCCUUUUUUCAGGUUGACCUCGGAUCAGGUAGGGAUACCCGCUGAACUUAAGCAUAUCAAUAAGCGGAGGA
RNAcentral lists this unclassified non-coding RNA (341 nucleotides) under soil metagenome. Its description in RNAcentral is "partial contains 5.8S ribosomal RNA, internal transcribed spacer 2, and large subunit ribosomal RNA". The stretch from base 1 to 120 matches the Rfam family "5.8S ribosomal RNA", at positions 35 to 154 of the family's 154-position model. The record is from RNAcentral.